RNAcentral lists this ribosomal RNA (1048 nucleotides) under Bacillus sp. NCCP-2087. RNAcentral describes it as "bacterial SSU rRNA". It matches the Rfam family "Bacterial small subunit ribosomal RNA", at positions 56 to 1085 of the family's 1533-position model. The record is from RNAcentral. Lineage: Bacteria; Bacillati; Bacillota; Bacilli; Caryophanales; Bacillaceae.
UGCAAGUCGAGCGGACAGAAGGGAGCUUGCUCCCCGGAUGUUAGCGGCGGACGGGUGAGUAACACGUGGGUAACCUGCCUGUAAGACUGGGAUAACUCCGGGAAACCGGAGCUAAUACCGGAUAGUUCCUUGAACCGCAUGGUUCAAGGAUGAAAGACGGUUUCGGCUGUCACUUACAGAUGGACCCGCGGCGCAUUAGCUAGUUGGUGAGGUAACGGCUCACCAAGGCGACGAUGCGUAGCCGACCUGAGAGGGUGAUCGGCCACACUGGGACUGAGACACGGCCCAGACUCCUACGGGAGGCAGCAGUAGGGAAUCUUCCGCAAUGGACGAAAGUCUGACGGAGCAACGCCGCGUGAGUGAUGAAGGUUUUCGGAUCGUAAAGCUCUGUUGUUAGGGAAGAACAAGUGCAAGAGUAACUGCUUGCACCUUGACGGUACCUAACCAGAAAGCCACGGCUAACUACGUGCCAGCAGCCGCGGUAAUACGUAGGUGGCAAGCGUUGUCCGGAAUUAUUGGGCGUAAAGGGCUCGCAGGCGGUUUCUUAAGUCUGAUGUGAAAGCCCCCGGCUCAACCGGGGAGGGUCAUUGGAAACUGGGAAACUUGAGUGCAGAAGAGGAGAGUGGAAUUCCACGUGUAGCGGUGAAAUGCGUAGAGAUGUGGAGGAACACCAGUGGCGAAGGCGACUCUCUGGUCUGUAACUGACGCUGAGGAGCGAAAGCGUGGGGAGCGAACAGGAUUAGAUACCCUGGUAGUCCACGCCGUAAACGAUGAGUGCUAAGUGUUAAGGGGUUUCCGCCCCUUAGUGCUGCAGCUAACGCAUUAAGCACUCCGCCUGGGGAGUACGGUCGCAAGACUGAAACUCAAAGGAAUUGACGGGGGCCCGCACAAGCGGUGGAGCAUGUGGUUUAAUUCGAAGCAACGCGAAGAACCUUACCAGGUCUUGACAUCCUCUGACAACCCUAGAGAUAGGGCUUUCCCUUCGGGGACAGAGUGACAGGUGGUGCAUGGUUGUCGUCACCUCCUGUCCUGAGAUGUUGGGUUAAGU